UAAGACUGGGAUAACUCCGGGAAACCGGGGCUAAUACCGGAUGCUUGAUUGAACCGCAUGGUUCAAUCAUAAAAGGCGGCUUCGGCUGCCGUUUACAGAUGGACCCGCGGCGCAUUAGCUAGUUGGUGAGGUAACGGCUCACCAAGGCGACGAUGCGUAGCCGACCUGAGAGGGUGAUCGGCCACACUGGGACUGAGACACGGCCCAGACUCCUACGGGAGGCAGCAGUAGGGAAUCUUCCGCAAUGGACGAAAGUCUGACGGAGCAACGCCGCGUGAGUGAUGAAGGUUUUCGGAUCGUAAAGCUCUGUUGUUAGGGAAGAACAAGUACCGUUCGAAUAGGGCGGUACCUUGACGGUACCUAACCAGAAAGCCACGGCUAACUACGUGCCAGCAGCCGCGGUAAUACGUAGGUGGCAAGCGUUGUCCGGAAUUAUUGGGCGUAAAGCGCGCGCAGGCGGUUUCUUAAGUCUGAUGUGAAAGCCCCCGGCUCAACCGGGGAGGGUCAUUGGAAACUGGGGAACUUGAGUGCAGAAGAGGAGAGUGGAAUUCCACGUGUAGCGGUGAAAUGCGUAGAGAUGUGGAGGAACACCAGUGGCGAAGGCGACUCUCUGGUCUGUAACUGACGCUGAGGCGCGAAAGCGUGGGGAGCGAACAGGAUUAGAUACCCUGGUAGUCCACGCCGUAAACGAUGAGUGCUAAGUGUUAGAGGGUUUCCGCCCUUUAGUGCUGCAGCAAACGCAUUAAGCACUCCGCCUGGGGAGUACGGUCGCAAGACUGAAACUCAAAGGAAUUGACGGG
This 800-nucleotide ribosomal RNA is filed under the name Bacillus swezeyi. RNAcentral describes it as "bacterial SSU rRNA". It matches the Rfam family "Bacterial small subunit ribosomal RNA", at positions 133 to 917 of the family's 1533-position model. The record is from RNAcentral. Lineage: Bacteria; Bacillati; Bacillota; Bacilli; Caryophanales; Bacillaceae.